This 352-nucleotide ribosomal RNA is filed under the name uncultured bacterium. RNAcentral describes it as "bacterial SSU rRNA". It matches the Rfam family "Bacterial small subunit ribosomal RNA", at positions 8 to 350 of the family's 1533-position model. The record is from RNAcentral.
AGAGUUUGAUCCUGGCUCAGGAUGAACGCUAGCUACAGGCUUAACACAUGCAAGUCGAGGGGAAACGACAUCGAAAGCUUGCUUUUGAUGGGCGUCGACCGGCGCACGGGUGAGUAACGCGUAUCCAACCUGCCCACCACUUGGGGAUAACCUUGCGAAAGUAAGACUAAUACCCAAUGAUAUCUCUAGAAGACAUCUGAAAGAGAUUAAAGAUUUAUCGGUGAUGGAUGGGGAUGCGUCUGAUUAGCUUGUUGGCGGGUAACGGCCACAAGGCUACGAUCAGUAGGGGUUCUGACGAGGAAGGUCCCCCACAUUGGAACUGAGACACGGUCCAAACGUCCUACGGGAGGCA